AUUGAACGCUGGCGGCAUGCCUUACACAUGCAAGUCGAACGGCAGCGGGCCUUCGGGUGCCGGCGAGUGGCGAACGGGUGAGUAAUGCAUCGGAACGUGCCAUUGAGUGGGGGAUAACGUAGCGAAAGUUACGCUAAUACCGCAUAUUCUGUGAGCAGGAAAGCAGGGGGACCGCAAGGCCUUGCGCUCUUUGAGCGGCCGAUGUCAGAUUAGCUAGUUGGUGAGGUAAAGGCUUACCAAGGCGACGAUCUGUAGCGGGUCUGAGAGGAUGAUCCGCCACACUGGAACUGAGACACGGUCCAGACUCCUACGGGAGGCAGCAGUGGGGAAUUUUGGACAAUGGGCGCAAGCCUGAUCCAGCCAUGCCGCGUGAGUGAAGAAGGCCUUCGGGUUGG
RNAcentral lists this ribosomal RNA (395 nucleotides) under uncultured bacterium. Its description in RNAcentral is "bacterial SSU rRNA". It matches the Rfam family "Bacterial small subunit ribosomal RNA", at positions 30 to 426 of the family's 1533-position model. The record is from RNAcentral.